Molecule: long non-coding RNA, 318 nt
Organism: Hyla sarda
Lineage: Eukaryota; Metazoa; Chordata; Amphibia; Anura; Hylidae
Exons: 3
Source: RefSeq, a predicted model, not a curated record
GUCUCUUUGAAGAGGAAAAGAACAUAAAGGGGAACCCAUUUAAGAGUGUGAGGAAAAAACUAAAGAGCAAGAACGAAAAGGGGUUAGGAAAAACAUGAAAAUUGUGAAGCAAGGUCACUAUAUAAGCAUAUGUUACUGAUGACCCGAAUUUUAUGAGAAAAUGGCAAGAUAUACAUGAAAUGUAUUCUUUGGAAAUGUUAUAUCUGAUUCUACAAAGGAAUAUAGAAGAAUAUGAGAACAUUUCUAAAGAAUUAAGUCAAGGAAAAAGCGAGUUAUGUUUGAGACUGCCAGAGGAACAAUUUGAAGAAUUAAAAAAAA